RNAcentral lists this ribosomal RNA (253 nucleotides) under uncultured bacterium. Its description in RNAcentral is "partial 16S ribosomal RNA". It matches the Rfam family "Bacterial small subunit ribosomal RNA", at positions 524 to 776 of the family's 1533-position model. The record is from RNAcentral.
UACAGAGGGGGCGAGCGUUAUUCGGAAUUACUGGGCGUAAAGCGCACGUAGGCGGCUUUGUAAGUUAGAGGUGAAAGCCCGGGGCUCAACUCCGGAAUUGCCUUUAAGACUGCAUCGCUAGAAUUGUGGAGAGGUAAGUGGAAUUCCGAGUGUAGAGGUGAAAUUCGUAGAUAUUCGGAAGAACACCAGUGGCGAAGGCGACUUACUGGACACAUAUUGACGCUGAGGUGCGAAAGCGUGGGGAGCAAACAGG